UACGGGGGGGGCAAGCGUUGUUCGGAAUUACUGGGCGUAAAGGGCUCGUAGGUGGCCAACUAAGUCAGACGUGAAAUCCCUCGGCUUAACCGGGGAACUGCAUCUGAUACUGGAUGGCUUGAGAUUGGGAGAGGGAUGCGGAAUUCCAGGUGUAGCGGUGAAAUGCGUAGAUAUCAAGAGGAACACCUGAGGUGAAGACGGGUUGCUGGGCUGACACUGACGCUGAGGCGCGAAAGCUAGGGUAGCAAACGGG
RNAcentral lists this ribosomal RNA (253 nucleotides) under uncultured bacterium. Its description in RNAcentral is "partial 16S ribosomal RNA". It matches the Rfam family "Bacterial small subunit ribosomal RNA", at positions 524 to 776 of the family's 1533-position model. The record is from RNAcentral.